This 401-nucleotide ribosomal RNA is filed under the name Staphylococcus gallinarum. Its description in RNAcentral is "bacterial SSU rRNA". It matches the Rfam family "Bacterial small subunit ribosomal RNA", at positions 123 to 511 of the family's 1533-position model. The record is from RNAcentral. Lineage: Bacteria; Bacillati; Bacillota; Bacilli; Caryophanales; Staphylococcaceae.
AACCUACCUAUAAGACUGGAAUAACUCCGGGAAACCGGGGCUAAUGCCGGAUAACAUAUAGAACCGCAUGGUUCUAUAGUGAAAGAUGGUUUUGCUAUCACUUAUAGAUGGACCCGCGCCGUAUUAGCUAGUUGGUAAGGUAAUGGCUUACCAAGGCGACGAUACGUAGCCGACCUGAGAGGGUGAUCGGCCACACUGGAACUGAGACACGGUCCAGACUCCUACGGGAGGCAGCAGUAGGGAAUCUUCCGCAAUGGGCGAAAGCCUGACGGAGCAACGCCGCGUGAGUGAUGAAGGGUUUCGGCUCGUAAAACUCUGUUAUUAGGGAAGAACAUAUGUGUAAGUAACUGUGCACAUCUUGACGGUACCUAAUCAGAAAGCCACGGCUAACUACGUGCCAG